AAAGCGUGCGCAGGCGGUUGUGCAAGACCGAUGUGAAAUCCCCGGGCUUAACCUGGGAAUGGCAUUGGUGACUGCACGGCUAGAGUGUGUCAGAGGGGGGUAGAAUUCCACGUGUAGCAGUGAAAUGCGUAGAGAUGUGGAGGAAUACCGAUGGCGAAGGCAGCCCCCUGGGAUAACACUGACGCUCAUGCACGAAAGCGUGGGGAGCAAACAGGAUUAGAUACCCUAGU
Molecule: ribosomal RNA, 230 nt
Filed under: uncultured bacterium
Lineage: Bacteria
Description: partial 16S ribosomal RNA
Rfam family: Bacterial small subunit ribosomal RNA
Source: RNAcentral